AUUGCAAUUACUCCUAAUCCCUAUUAGGGAUUGAAAC
Non-coding RNA from Desertifilum sp., 37 nucleotides. NCBI's taxonomy places the organism in Bacteria, Bacillati, Cyanobacteriota, Cyanophyceae, Desertifilales, Desertifilaceae. The record is from Rfam.